This is a long non-coding RNA of Nothoprocta perdicaria, 209 nucleotides long. RefSeq lists it as uncharacterized. The record is from RefSeq and is a predicted model, not a curated record. The transcript is spliced from 2 exons. NCBI's taxonomy places the organism in Eukaryota, Metazoa, Chordata, Aves, Tinamiformes, Tinamidae.
AUGAUGGGAGAAGUUCAUGAGAACCAGAAGAAAACAAGUAUUCAUCUUCAAGGACAAUCUGGAGAACCACUAGCUGGUCAGCUUCACCUUGAUCACUGUGAAGGCUCCUCAUCUCUAAAUAUGAAACAGACUUGGAAAGAGAAGAGAGAAGGUGACCCAGGUGAUUGGCUUCCUGGUACGCAAGAGACCAUAACAGAUAGGCACCAGGU